GAGGCAGCCCACAAACAAACACACCACAGGGACAGCAGAAACAACACAGACACAACCACAAGGCUUUGAUAUGGAUUUGUGUUUCAACUCAUUCGCCAAAGUCUAUGAGAAGUCGCCUGACGCCAGAUUUGUAAGCGCGCGCUACAUAAACCAACAUCACGGACUAUAGCCCCGUCAGAAUCAUUUGGAUACAGCACAUAGGCUACAGAUCUGGGUUCCGGUGAUGAGAAGUGACUGUUUCAGACACAGGUUAUAUAAACCCGAUGAGAGAGAGAUCUACUGUAACCGCGGGUGUGUCAGUAAAACGCUAGCUUCUAUAAAUAGACAUUGGAUUGCCGUGUUGAUUGGGCUAUCCUCUUACACACUAUGGGAUUAAUACUGAGGACGAACUGGGGUGCACAUGGAUAAACAUCGAAAACAUUCACACGACUGUCAAUGCUAAACAAGGAGACCCCUUCCAAACAAGAUUGAGAAUAUAUCAUCUUUGUCAGCUGGACUUAACUGCCCUGUGAAACGUAAGAUAUUGAAAGUAAGACUAGUUUAUAAAGACUCAUUUCUUGUGGCAUGAUGAUGUCGACAAUGCAUGCAUAUCAACUACUUCUAGUGAUCCAGUUCAACAGUACAUCAUGCAUAUCAACUACUUCUAAUGAUCCAGAUCAACAAUACAUCAUGCAUAUCAACUACUUCUAGUGAUCCAGUUCAACAGUACAUCAUGCAUAUCAACUACUUCUAGUGAUCCAGUUCAACAGUACAUCAUGCAUAUCAACUACUUCUAGUGAUCCAGUUCAACAGUACAUCAUGCAUAUUAACUACUUUUAGUGAUCCAGUUCAACAGUACAUCAUGCAUAUCAACUACUUCUAAUGAUCCAGUUCAACAGUACAUCAUGCAUAUCAACUACUUCUAGUGAUCCAGUUCAACAGUACAUCAUGCAUAUCAACUACUUCUAGUGAUCCAGUUCAACAGUACAUCAUGCAUAUCAACUACUUCUAGUGAUCCAGUUCAACAGUACAUCAUGCAUAUCAACUACUUCUAGUGAUCCAGUUCAACAGUACAUCAUGCAUAUCAACUACUUCUAAUGAUCCAGAUCAACAGUACAUCAUGCAUAUCAACUACUUCUAAUGAUCCAGUUCAACAGUACAUCAUGCAUAUCAACUACUUCUAGUGAUCCAGUUCAACAGUACAUCAUGCAUAUCAACUACUUCUAAUGAUCCAGAUCAACAGUACAUCAUGCAUAUCAACUACUUCUAAUGAUCCAGUUCAACAGUACAUCAUGCAUAUCAACUACUUCUAAUGAUCCAGAUCAACAAUACAUCAUGCAUAUCAACUACUUCUAGUGAUCCAGUUCAACAGUACAUCAUGCAUAUCAACUACUUCUAGUGAUCCAGUUCAACAGUACAUCAUGCAUAUCAACUACUUCUAGUGAUCCAGUUCAACAGUACAUCAUGCAUAUCAACUACUUUUAGUGAUCCAGUUCAACAGUACAUCAUGCAUAUCGAAACCACUCUUAGUGAUCCAGUUCAACAGUACAUCAUGCAUAUUAAAACCACUCUUAGUGAUCCAGUUCAACAGAGCUCAUCGAUAGCCUGGGAAAACAACUCAUUUCUGCAAGAGUAGCUUAGUAUAUUUUUUGUCUGUCAAUAAGUGUUGCUGUUGUUGAAAAGACAACUAUUCCUUGUCGUCUUGUCCUACCAGCACUGACUUUGUUGAUAGCUUCUUUACUGAGGAGAAAUGUACUUGUGACAACGGUGAUAUUCUCACCAAGCUAUCUUAAGGUGACUGACUGUAAGUUGUUCUGGAUAAGAGAGUAUGCUAAAUGACUAAAAGGUCAAAUGUAACAGCAAGACAUUGUAGUGAAAACAAUCCUGCAAAUCCCAGACAGCCAAUGAGAGUCCAAUCGCUGCUUAGCCUAAUCUAUGACGGAUCAACAUGUUUCUUUUCCACAAAUGUACUGAACACCGCAAGCACACACACAGCCAGACCUUUACAGCAUCAGUUACAACAUUCACAUACCACACACACACUAGUGUUGUCAUGAUACCAAAAAUGUGACUUGGUACUUGAUACCAUCACGAUACUCAAUAUCAGAAACGAUACCAUGGCUAAAAAAAGGCGCAUUGCCAAAUGUACAGAAUGGCACUUGAUCCAGAUAGCCAUGCAUGAAUCAACUAACCCUAACCUCUUAUAUAUAUUUAAAAAAAAUGGCUCUGCCUUUUGGGCCCCUUAUGUUCUUGGGCUCCGAGGAAUCGGCCCCUGUAAGCACCUGUAUUAAAUCAGGCCCUGGGAGUGAGUGCUUGUUUUGGCUGAUUUAACGUGGUAACAGAUGACAAACAAUCCAUUUCCCUUCCAUUCGUGGCCUUGUUUUAUCUUCUUUUAUAAACGUGUGCGCAGUGUCUUUAACACUUAAUGACGUCACUCAAACACACUGACAGGAGAGACCCGAGGCGAGGGAGACCAAGUGAAUGAAUAACGUGUUUGGCAACGACCGUGUGGUUUUUGGCGACAAAUCAGCUUUGAUAUCGGCAUGUGUUGCAUUAUGGUUUGCAUUAUUAUCACAAACAGAGUACUAGGGUGGUGAAUUGAUGUGGACUUCAGCUGUAAGCUAGCAAGGAAAGUUAGCCUACAAAGCUGGAAGCGAAAAAAAGUGAUCUGAUUACAUUGUAGUGUUCUAGCCUGUAAUGGACAUUGUUUUGCGAACAGUAAUUAACAGUUGCUCAAUUUCUACGUGCUGUGUUGCAUUAUUCCAGUGUGUUAACUUCUGCGCAGCGUGAGUGGGGAGCUAGCAUGAUACAGCCCAGACACUUAGAGCAGGACAGACUAGAGUCAGUAUGAGUGGGGAGAUAACAUGAUGUAUCCCAGACUCCCAGUGUGAGCAGUAGUUCUUCAGGACAGACUAGAGCCAGUAUGAGAGGAGAGCUAACAUGAGGCAGCCCAGACUCCCAGUGUGAGCAGUGGUUCUUCAGGACAGACUAGAGCCAGUAUGAGAGGAGAGCUAACAUGAGGCAGCCCAGACUCCCAGUGUGAGCAGAGGUUCUUCAGGACAGACUGGAGCCAGUAUGAGAGGAGAGCUAACAUGAUGUAGCCCAGACUCCCAGUGUGAGCAGAGGUUCUUCAGGACAGACUAGAGCCAGUAUGAGAGGAGAGCUAACAUGAUGUAUCCCAGACUCCCAGUGUGAGCAGAGGUUCUUCAGGACAGACUAGAGCCAGUAUGAGAGGAGAGCUAACAUGAUGUAUCCCAGACUCCCAGUGUGAGCAGAGGUUCUUCAGGACAGACUAGAGCCAGUAUGAGUGGGGAGCUAACAUGAGGCAGCCCAGACUCCCAGUGUGAGCAGUGGUUCUUCAGGUCAGACUGGAGCCAGUAUGAGAGGAGAGCUAACAUGAGGCAGCCCAGACUGCCAGUGUGAGCAGAGGUUCCUCAGGACAGACUAGAGCCAGUAUGAGAGGAGAGCUAACAUGAGGCAGCCCAGACUGCCAGUGUGAGCAGAGGUUCUUCAGGACAGACUGGAGCCAGUAUGAGAGGAGAGCUAACAUGAUGUAGGCCAGACUCCCAGUGUGAGCAGAGGUUCUUCAGGACAGACUGGAGCCAGUAUGAGAGGAGAGCUAACAUGAUGCAGCCCAGACUCCCAGUGUGAGCAGUGGUUCCUCAGGACAGACUGGAGCCAGUAUGAGAGGAGAGCUAACAUGAGGCAGCCCAGACUCCCAGUGUGAGCAGUGGUUCCUCAGGACAGACUACAGCCAGCAAUGGGUAAGUGAAGCAGGCACGGUGCUCUCACGCUAUAAGUGGACCGGGCUGUGCUGAUAGACAGACUUGAUCCUCUCUCAAUCAGUAAACGACGUGAGACACAUUUGACAGAAGAACCGAAAGUACCAAAAAUUCUAGCACUAAACCGUUUUUUCAUGUUCUAGUAUAGAAAAAGUCCUGACGUUUGGGUAUACCGUGCAACACUAACAUACACUGCCCUCUA
Long non-coding RNA from Oncorhynchus keta (chum salmon), 3963 nucleotides. RefSeq lists it as uncharacterized. The record is from RefSeq and is a predicted model, not a curated record. The transcript is spliced from 3 exons. NCBI's taxonomy places the organism in Eukaryota, Metazoa, Chordata, Actinopteri, Salmoniformes, Salmonidae.